Molecule: ribosomal RNA, 423 nt
Filed under: uncultured bacterium
Lineage: Bacteria
Description: bacterial SSU rRNA
Rfam family: Bacterial small subunit ribosomal RNA
Source: RNAcentral
AAGACCUUGCACUUUUGGAGCGGCCGAUGUCUGAUUAGCUAGUUGGUGGGGUAAUGGCCUACCAAAGCUUCGAUCAGUAGCUGGUCUGAGAGGACGGCCAGCCACACUGGGACUGAGACACGGCCCAGACUCCUACGGGAGGCAGCAGUGGGGAAUUUUGGACAAUGGGCGCAAGCCUGAUCCAGCCAUGCCGCGUGAGUGAAGAAGGCCUUCGGGUUGUAAAGCUCUUUCAGCCGGGAAGAAAAGGUUGCGGCUAAUAAUCGCAAUCCAUGACGGUACCGAAAGAAGAAGCACCGGCUAACUACGUGCCAGCAGCCGCGGUAAUACGUAGGGUGCGAGCGUUAAUCGGGAUUACUGGGCGUAAAGGGUGCGCAGGCGGUUUUGUAAGUCAGAUGUGAAAUCCCCGGGCUUAACCUGGGAACU